UACGAAGGGGACUAGCGUUGUUCGGAAUUACUGGGCGUAAAGCGCACGUAGGCGGCUUUGUAAGUCAGGGGUGAAAUCCCGGGGCUCAACCUCGGAACUGCCUUUGAUACUGCAAAUCUCGAGUCCGAUAGAGGUGGGUGGAAUUCCUAGUGUAGAGGUGAAAUUCGUAGAUAUUAGGAAGAACACCGGUGGCGAAGGCGGCCCACUGGAUCGGUACUGACGCUGAGGCGCGAAAGCGUGGGGAGCAAACAGG
Molecule: ribosomal RNA, 253 nt
Filed under: uncultured bacterium
Lineage: Bacteria
Description: partial 16S ribosomal RNA
Rfam family: Bacterial small subunit ribosomal RNA
Source: RNAcentral